GUGCCAGCCGCCGCGGUAAAACCAGCACCUCAAGUGGUCAGGAGGAUUAUUGGGCCUAAAGCAUCCGUAGCCUGCUUUGUAAGUUUUCGGUUAAAUCCAUAUGCUCAACAUAUGGGCUGCCGGGAAUACUGCAUAGCUAGGGAGUGGGAGAGGUAGACGGUACUCCAUAGGAAGGGGUAAAAUCCUUUGAUCUAUGGAAGACCACCUGUGGCGAAGGCGGUCUACCAGAACACGUUCGACGGUGAGGGAUGAAAGCUGGGGGAGCAAACCGGAUUAGAUACCCGGGUAGUCCCAGCUGUAAACUAUGCAAACUCGGUGAUGCAUUGGCUUGUGGCCAGUGCAGUGCCGCAGGGAAGCCGUUAAGUUUGCCGCCUGGGAAGUACGUACGCAAGUAUGAAACUUAAAGGAAUUGGCGGGGGAGCACCACAAGGGGUGAAGCCUGCGGUUCAAUUGGAGUCAACGCCAGAAAUCUUACCUGGGGAGACAGCAGAAUGAAGGUCAAGCUGAAGACUUUACCAGACAAGCUGAGAGGUGGUGCAUGGCCGUCGUCAGCUCGUGCCGUGAGAUGUCCUGUUAAGUCAGGUAACGAGCGAGAUCCCUGCUGCUAGUUGCUACCAUUACUCUCCGGAGUAGUGGGGCGAAUUAGCGGGACCGCCGCAGUUAAUGUGGAGGAAGGAAGGGGCCACGGCAGGUCAGUAUGCCCCGAAACUCUAGGGCCACACGCGGGCUGCAGUGGUAGCAACAAUGGGUCCCGAAUCCGAAAGGAUGAGGUAAUCCUCAAAUGCUACCUCAGUUAUGACUGAGGGCUGUAACUCGCCCUCACGAAUAUGGAAUCCCUAGUAACUGCGUGUCAUUACCGCGCGGUGAAUACGUCCCUGCUCCU
This 883-nucleotide ribosomal RNA is filed under the name uncultured archaeon. Its description in RNAcentral is "bacterial SSU rRNA". It matches the Rfam family "Archaeal small subunit ribosomal RNA", at positions 455 to 1337 of the family's 1478-position model. The record is from RNAcentral.